ACGCUCGACACCUACGUGAGGCAGCAGUGGGGAAUAUUGCACAAUGGGGGAAACCCUGAUGCAGCAACGCCGCGUGAAGGAAGACGGUUUUCGGAUUGUAAACUUCUGUUCUUAGUGAAGAUAGUGACGGUAGCUAAGGAGCAAGCCACGGCUAACUACGUACCAGCAGCCGCGGUAAUCUGAGCGGGCUGGCAAGGC
RNAcentral lists this ribosomal RNA (198 nucleotides) under uncultured bacterium. RNAcentral's name for it is "partial 16S ribosomal RNA". It matches the Rfam family "Bacterial small subunit ribosomal RNA", at positions 328 to 539 of the family's 1533-position model. The record is from RNAcentral.